Molecule: long non-coding RNA, 2276 nt
Organism: Astyanax mexicanus (Mexican tetra)
Lineage: Eukaryota; Metazoa; Chordata; Actinopteri; Characiformes; Acestrorhamphidae
Exons: 3
Source: RefSeq, a predicted model, not a curated record
GUUGCUAAGGUGUUGCUAUGGUAUCUGGGGUGGUUGCUAAGGUGUUUCUAAGUGGUUGCUAGGUGGUUGCUAAGGUGUUGCUAUGGUAUCCAGGGUGGUUGCUAAGAUGUUGCUAGGUGGUUGCUAAGGUGUUUCUAUGGUAUCUGGGGUGGUUGCUAAGGUGUUUCUAGGUGGUUGCUAGGUGGUUGCUAAGGUGUUGCUAUGGUAUCUGGGGUGGUUGCUAAGGUGUUUCUAGGUGGUUGCUAGGUGGUUGCUAAGGUGUUGCUAUGGUAUCCGGGGUGGUUGCUAAGGUGUUGCUAGGUGGUUGAUAGGUGGUUGCUAGGGUGUUGCUUGGUGGUUGCUAAGGUGUUGCUAUGGUAUCCGGGGUGGUUGCUAAGGUGUUGCUAGGUGGUUGCUAGGCAGUUGCUAUCAUUUCUAAAGUGGUUGCUAAGUGGUUGCUAGGCAGUUGCUAACAUUUUCCUAGUGGUUGUUAAGGUGUUGCUAAGUGGUUGCUAGGCAGUUGCUAUUGUUUCUAAAGUGGUGGCUAAGUGGUUGCUAGGCAGUUGCUAACGUUUUCCAGGUGGUUGCUCAGUGGUUGCUAGGCAGUUGCUAACGUUUUCCAGGUGGUUGCUAAGUGGUUGCUAGGCAGUUGCUAUAAUUUCUAAAGUGGUUGCUAAGUGGUUGCUAGGCAGUUGCUAACGUUUUCCUAGUGGUUGCUAUGGUAUUGUUAAGUGGUUGCUAGGCAGUUGCUAUCAUUUCUAAAGUGGUUCCUAAGUGGUUGCUAUGCAGUUGCUAACGUUUUAAUAGUGGUUGCUAAGGUUUUGCUAGGCAGUUGCUAUCAUUUCUAAAGUGGUUGCUAGGCAGUUGCUAUCGUUUUCCUAGUGGUUGUUAAGGUGUUGCUAAGUGGUUGCUAGGCAGUUGCUAUCAUUUCUAAAGUGCUUGCUAGGCAGUUGCUAACGUUUUACCAAUGGUUGUUAAGGUGUUGCUAAGUGGUUGCUAGGCAGUUGCUUUCGUUUCUAAAGUGGUUGCUAAGUGGUUGCUAGGCAGUUGCUAACGUUUUCCAGGUGGUUGCUAAGUGGUUGCUAGGCAGUUGCUAACAUUUUCCAGGUGGUUGCUAGGCAGUUGCUAAGUGGUUGCUAGGCAGUUGCUAACGUUUUCCAAGUGGUUUCUAGGCAGUUGCUAAGUGGUUGCUAGGCAGUUGCUAACAUUUUCCAGGUGGUUGCUAAGUGGUUGCUAGGUAGUUGCUAACGUAUUCCAGGUGGUUGCUAGGCAGUUGCUAAGUGGUUGCUAGGCAGUUGCUAACGUUUUCCAGGUGGUUGCUCAGUGGUUGCUAGGCAGUUGCUAACGUUUUCCAGGUGGUUGCUAAGUGGUUGCUAGGCAGUUGCUAACGUAUUCCAGGUGGUUGCUAGGCAGUUGCUAAGUGGUUGCUAGGCAGUUGCUAACGUUUUCCAAGUGGUUGCUAGGCAGUUGCUAACGUAUUCCAGGUGGUUGCUAGGCAGUUGCUAAGUGGUUGCUAGGCAGUUGCUAACGUUUUCCAAGUGGUUGCUAGGCAGUUGCUAAGUGGUUGCUAGGCAGUUGCUAACGUUUUCCAGGUGGUUGCUAAGGUGUUGCUAAGUGGUUGCUAGGCAGUUGCUAACGUUUUCCAUGUGGUUGCUAAGUGGUUGCUAGGCAGUUGCUAUCAUUUCUAAAGUGGUUGCUAAGUGGUUGCUAGGCAGUUGCUAACGUUUUCCAAGUGGUUGCUAGGCAGUUGCUAAGUGGUUGCUAGGCAGUUGCUAACAUUUUCCAGGUGGUUGCUAAGUGGUUGCUAGGUAGUUGCUAACAUAUUCCAGGUGGUUGCUAGGCAGCUGCUAAGUGGUUGCUAGGCAGUUGCUAACGUUUUCCAGGUGGUUGCUAAGUGGUUGUUAGGCAGUUGCUAACGUUUUCCAGGUGGUUGCUAGGCAGUUGCUAAGUGGUUGCUAGGCAGUUGCUAACGUUUUCCAAGUGGUUGCUAGGCAGUUGCUAAGUGGUUGCUAGGCAGUUGCUAACGUUUUCCAUGUGGUUGCUAAGUGGUUGCUAGGCAGUUGCUAACGUUUUCCAUGUGGUUGCUAAGUGGUUGCUAGGCAGUUGCUAUCAUUUCUAAAGUGGUUGCUAAGUGGUUGCUAGGCAGUUGCUAACGUUUUCCAAGUGGUUGCUAGGCAGUUGCUAAGUGGUUGCUAGGCAGUUGCUAACAUUUUCCAGGUGGUUGCUAAGGUGUUGCUAAGUGGUUGCUAGGCAGUUGCUAACGUUUUCCAUGUGGUUGCUAAGUGGUUGCUAGGCAG